RNAcentral lists this ribosomal RNA (467 nucleotides) under uncultured Oomycota. Its description in RNAcentral is "LSU rRNA". The stretch from base 1 to 83 matches the Rfam family "Bacterial large subunit ribosomal RNA", at positions 476 to 559 of the family's 2925-position model. Lineage: Eukaryota; Oomycota. The record is from RNAcentral.
GUGCGAGACCGAUAGCGAACAAGUACCGUGAGGGAAAGAUGAAAAGAACUUUGAAAAGAGAGUUAAAGAGUACCUGAAACUGCUGAAAGGGAAGCGAAUCGUAUCCAGUGUCUAUGAUCUGCGGCAUAUUUCAUUGGCGGCAGUGUGCGUGCUUUUGCGUCGGAAGCGGCUUUUGUUGCUCUGUGCUUUUGCUGUGCGUGCUGUUGCUGGUGCCCUGUGUUGCGGUGGGACGUCAGAGUCAGUUCGUAUGCUGCGGGAAAUGGCCGCCGAGGAGGUAGGUCAGGACUUCGGUCUUGGCUGUUAUAUCUUGGUGGUUUGUUGUCGUGGUUGGGACUGAGGUGCCUACAAUGUGCUUUUGAGUGUGCCGGGUUCUCAUUUGGUGGACUGUUUGGAUAGCUUGCUAUGCUUGUGGUUUUUUCAUCGAGUGAUUGAGUCUGGUGGUAACUUGUUGCUGUUCGGGACUUUGA